GUGCUUGCUUCGGCAGCACAUAUACUAAAAUUGGAACAGUACAGAGAAGGAUAGCAUGGCCCUGGGUAAGGAUGACAUGCAAAUACUUGUGAAGUGUUCCAUAUUAAA
Hippopotamus amphibius kiboko is the source of this 108-nucleotide small nuclear RNA. Lineage: Eukaryota; Metazoa; Chordata; Mammalia; Artiodactyla; Hippopotamidae. The record is from RefSeq and is a predicted model, not a curated record.